GACGAACGCUGGCGGCGUGCCUGACACAUGCAAGUCGGACGGUUCUUGCACCUUCAAGCUUGCUUGCUGGUGCAGGGAUAGUGGCGGACGGGUGAGUAACGCGUGAACAUCUACCCAUUGGAGGGGGACAACCCGUCGAAAGGCGGGCUAAUACCGCGUAAGCCGUGAGGUGAGAGGCUGCCUAUUGGUGGCCGCCGAUGGAUGGGUUCGCGUCCUAUCAGCUGGUUGGUGGGGUAACGGCCUACCAAGGCGAAGACGGGUAGCCGGUCUGAGAGGAUGGCCGGCCACACUGGAACUGAGACACGGUCCAGACUCCUACGGGAGGCAGCAGGUGGGGAAUAUUGGGCAAUGGGGGUAACCCUGACCCAGCGACGCCGCGUGAGGGACGAAGGUUUUCGGAUCGUAAACCUCUGUUGUACGGGAAGAAGGAAUUGACGGUACCGUACGAGAAAGCCCCGGCAAACUACGUG
This 470-nucleotide ribosomal RNA is filed under the name uncultured bacterium. RNAcentral describes it as "bacterial SSU rRNA". It matches the Rfam family "Bacterial small subunit ribosomal RNA", at positions 28 to 507 of the family's 1533-position model. The record is from RNAcentral.